Molecule: non-coding RNA, 76 nt
Organism: Potamilus streckersoni
Lineage: Eukaryota; Metazoa; Mollusca; Bivalvia; Unionida; Unionidae
Source: the annotation of a GenBank genome assembly
GACCGCUCCGGUGGCCUAGUGGUUAGAGAGUACACCUCGGAUGCGGAAGUCUCGGGUUCGAGCCCCGGCCGAGUCA